Molecule: small nuclear RNA, 64 nt
Organism: Suricata suricatta (meerkat)
Lineage: Eukaryota; Metazoa; Chordata; Mammalia; Carnivora; Herpestidae
Gene: U7
Rfam family: U7 small nuclear RNA
About the family: Animal histone pre-mRNAs are spliced by a different mechanism than nuclear pre-mRNAs and self-splicing introns. This processing involves the U7 snRNP, which contains only one RNA species: U7.
Source: Ensembl
UAGUGUUACAGCUCUUUUAGAAUUUGUCUAGCAGGUUUUCCAGUUCCUGUCAACAAUAGCCAAA